RNAcentral lists this long non-coding RNA (1877 nucleotides) under Homo sapiens (human). RNAcentral's name for it is "ATP11B divergent transcript (ATP11B-DT)". The record is from RNAcentral. Lineage: Eukaryota; Metazoa; Chordata; Mammalia; Primates; Hominidae.
ACGAAAGGGGGUGCGCGGACCGAGGGGGGCCUGGCGCGCCCCGCCGCCGUUCCGAGUUGGGGGGUUUCUGUGUUGUGGGUCCGGGAAGAAGCGAGCGUGGAAAGGUGCCGGGUUCUCGAACGCUGUUUCUGUCCACUGCCACCCUCCUCCCCGUUCUGGGAGUGGGAUUAAGUCGUGUCUGUGGGUCUGGCCAUCUCCGGAGUCUGCAGCUUGGGGCCGAUUCCUCGGUCUCUACCUCCUGUUGCAGGUCCUUAAUCAUUCAACAGAGACAUAAUAACUUUAUUGGAUGGAGCAAUACUUCUUGCUAAUCAGCAUAUACACACCCAGUGACCUUGCAUGAAGAAGCAGCCUGUCUGCAGAAGAUUGCAUCUCAUCUAUACAAAGCAGGAGUGAUGUUGUCAAUGUGUGUGUGUGCAUGCAUUUAUGUAUCUGUAUGCUUGUGCAGAGAGGGGAAGAUGGGGGAGGGGAUGUGGCUUUGUUACUUAGCUUGCUUGAUUUUUAUCCACAGUUAUUAAGAGGUAAAACAUUGUAGCUCAACCCCUAGAAGUGGUCGUUUGCUUUACAGAGAGGAAAAUCUCUGCCCCCUUACCAUGGCUUGCAUUUCCAGCCCCAAAAGGCAAAAACAGGGAGCACGUAACUCAGUGGAAUCAAUAGCACGACCAGAAAGUCAAUUCAGUCAUAUGAUGGUGGAUCAGUAUCAUCAUUGUAAAGGAGAGGAGAUCACUGUACUGUCAGAUGCAUCACUCUGACUUUCCCCCAUCACUGUGGAAAAAGGAGGGAAAAAAGCCUUCAAUCAUAAUAGGAAAGGUAAACAGUUUUUCAAACUUACAAACAUAUGUACAUGUCUUCCUCUGUAUCAUUUCAUGUAUGUUGUUUUUAUGUAUGUACCUGUACAAAAAGAUGUAAAUAUCACUUAACCUUGAGUAAUAUAAUAAUACAUGUGAAUUCUAAUUUUAGUUCCACUAAGUAUUAAUAAUUAAUGGUAACUUCGUUGAGUGUGAGAAUUCCACAAGGUUGCGUUAGAAUUCUGAAUGACAUUUUGUUUUUGCUUUAUUGGGCUUUGAUAUGUCAGACAAGAGAAUUCAACUUUUCUCCUGUGUGAAUGAAUUCAAUAGUCUGUUGAGAGAGAUGCCAGUUUUUAGGUUGCAUCCACCAUUUUUAUUUUUAGCUCCAUCUGUUGUCUUUAAUCAAGUUGCUGUUAAAACUCUGAUAAAAUACUUGGUUUGUAGCAUUGGUAUUGUCCCCACCAGCUUCCCUAAAAUGAGCGCUCCGAUUCUAAUCCCCAAAGAUGUUUGAAUUUGUCUCCAGUUGACAUCCAAAAGUCUCAUCUUCCUGGAUUUCCUUCCUCCUCUUGCCCCCUCUGCCCUUUCCCACUAUCCCAGUUCCUAGCAUCUCCCUGACCCUUGGGUUAGAGCCCAGGGAGAUGGACCACUGAAUCCAACCUGGGAAAAUGACAGGAAGUACGUGCAUUCUUCAAAGUGAGGCAUUUGCUGUUAUUGAGCAUCUAUUUUAACAUAACUCAGAUGCAGUGGUAUUAAUUUGUAUAUGAAUAUUUCAUUUAAUAAUAAUGAUUGAGACUGUCCUCUAUAUCAGAGGUAAGCAUAUACAGUACAGCCUGUUCUUUAACUCCUUUUUCCUCACCUGACUCAAUUUUCUGUUGAUUAAAUGUUAGACUGAGAAUGAAAGUAUACUUGUUAGAUUUGGCUACUUAUUGAAAGCUGCAGUUUUGGCUAGGCAUAGUGUGGCUUAUACCUGUAAUCCCAGCACACUGGAAGGCUGAGGUGGGAGGAUGGCUUGAGACCAGGAGUUUGGGACCAGCCUGGGCAACAUAGCAAGACCCCGUCUCUACAAAAAAUGAAAAAUAAAAAAAUGAAAAA